This 74-nucleotide transfer RNA is filed under the name Streptococcus agalactiae. Its description in RNAcentral is "tRNA-Ile". It matches the Rfam family "tRNA". From Rfam's summary of the family: Transfer RNA (tRNA) molecules are approximately 80 nucleotides in length. Lineage: Bacteria; Bacillati; Bacillota; Bacilli; Lactobacillales; Streptococcaceae. The record is from RNAcentral.
GGACCUUUAGCUCAGGUGGUUAGAGCGCACGCCUGAUAAGCGUGAGGUCGGUGGUUCGAGUCCUACUCGGCCCA